This 21-nucleotide small RNA is filed under the name Arabidopsis thaliana (thale cress). RNAcentral describes it as "Ath_wt_15067". Lineage: Eukaryota; Viridiplantae; Streptophyta; Magnoliopsida; Brassicales; Brassicaceae. The record is from RNAcentral.
AGCGGGUCGCCGCGUGCCGGC